AAACUUAUCGCAGUUGACUUCGUUAGAGGUUUACCAUUCAAGAUCGUGUGAAUGUAUUGUGUAAGGAUUGUUAUGCUUAAUACGACUUCAGAAGUAUUCAAUAGAAUUUCAGAACUCUUGUUUAGAGGUUCAACAACACAAUUAGAGAUACUUCGUUCAGUAAUAGAUUUUUUAAAGAAAACAACUUCAAACCAUACACCGAUAGAUUGAGCUCGUACUAGCGACCAAAAAUUCGAUUACACACAUCAUGUCUGUUUUCAGUCGAUGGAAAAAAGGCGACCAUAUGAAACUGAAGAACAAAGCUUGCAGAAAUAGCUUACUGUAAACGUGUAUAAUGGUCAACAGAUUCAGACUUUCGAAGCAAAGUAUCUUUACAAUUGAAGAUAAUUACCAAACGGUAAACUACAUUAUUUCCGAUUAACGUUUGUAACAAAACCACUAUGAAGUAACUCAGAUGUCUAUUGAUCUAUGGAAACCACCUGAUAGUUAAAUACUUUCUUCAAAGACAAAUAGUCAUUCAUUUUAUUGAAAUUAGAUCGCCCUAUUUUUCACCGAUGCACAACAACUUUAAUUCAUGUCUGAACGAUUCCGAUUUUCGGUGCGUUCAUUGCGUCUUUUAACCGAGCCACCCUUAUCACGACGUCUGUUCUCCUGAGGAUUAGUGUGUUGGGUCUUCUGCUCAUAUAGCUUUUCAUUUGCCUCAUUCAAUUGUGCAGUUUUCUCGCUAAGAGAAACAGUCAAGCUUUCCAGCUUGUUAAUCUCAACACGUUCAAAAAUGAUGGCACCGUGAACUUGAUCAAGAGCAGCAUGGAUCUCACGUUUAGAUAAUAACCGAGAAACAAUAACAGUAACACGCUGAACAGGAAGAUCAAAUGUCGUAGCCAAAAAUUCAAGAGAAACAGAAUCGUAAAAAGCAGCAUAUGCUAAUAAGUAUGUACGUAGUCCCUCUUCCCGAAUCUUCUCACUAAGCAUUUGCUUAAUUUUGUCAGCAUCAGGCAUUAAGCUCCAAAUCUUAAUAGCAUGAAUAAAUUCUUCACAACGACGCCAUUCACCAUCUGCCAAUGCUUUCGAAGCUUGCAUUAUAUACUCGCGGGUAUUUUCAGGAGGACCAACGAAAAGCUGACGAUCAAUGUAUUCAAGCAUACGACGGAAGGGUCGGCUGAUUACACGCUUUCUAGAAUCUGAAGCAGUAGAGCUAGCAGCUGCCAUUGCGGGAAUCUCCAUCAACAUAGAACAAGUCAAGUAAACACAUUCAAGCAGUUCUAGAUUUAUGUGCAUAUGGAAAGGUAAAACCAACUGCUUAUCCAAACGAUCCUGAUCAGGUGUAAAUUGUCCAAACUUUGGUGCUUGUAUGCCUUGUCCAAGGAGUUCCUUUACACGACCAGUAGUAGAGAUGUCUUGAAGAGCAUACUGUGUUUCUUGAACCAUACCGUUGCGGAAAGCACACAAACCAAUUUGAACCAUAGUGCGAUUGUGUAAAAUUUGAGUAGCAAUGUCGGCAGCAUGCACGCUAUCUUGUAAAUGCGACAUAAGUAACAUAUCACGAGCCUUGUAAAAACGAUUUUGCAAUGCUUCAUGAUAAAUAUGACACAGCAUAGCACGGGUACGAAGUAAACUGACACCAUUAUUAUAAAGAUAGACACAUAGGGAAUGGAUUAAAAUAUCAGGAGUCGUAGUCGUGGCACGAGGAGUAAUUGUAAGAUCAAAAGUAGGAGGGAAAGAACGCCAAGCAACCUCCUCAUUAGCGCGAAUUACUUGUUCAGGCUUGUAAUAGACGCGAUCAAGACGGCGCAUGAUCAAUCGAGCAGUAUUUUCAACCACCCCAAUUCGCUCAAGGUAACCUUGGCUUCUGACAAGAAGGGUAUAAAGUGACGUUUCAUCCUUCAGACGGUCAAUAUAUUCAGGAGUAUGAGGAUCAAUCAUUUGAAGAGAACGAGUAAAUUCAUCAUCCAAUCGUUCUAAGAAAGAGACUACACUACCUUGAACUUGUAUGACUCCAUUAUUAUUUUCCGCCGCAGCUAUCGC
Non-coding RNA from Schizosaccharomyces pombe (fission yeast), 2025 nucleotides. Lineage: Eukaryota; Fungi; Ascomycota; Schizosaccharomycetes; Schizosaccharomycetales; Schizosaccharomycetaceae. The record is from the annotation of a GenBank genome assembly.